This 209-nucleotide long non-coding RNA is filed under the name Vigna radiata. Its description in RNAcentral is "long non-coding RNA (VRAD_LNC007480)". Lineage: Eukaryota; Viridiplantae; Streptophyta; Magnoliopsida; Fabales; Fabaceae. The record is from RNAcentral.
UUUUUUUUAAUAAUUUUUCAUAUAAUAAAAAAUAGGGUUAAAUAUGUUUUUCGUCCCCCAACUAUUGGUCGUUUUUGUGUUUAGUCCAUCUUUCAAACUAUAGUACAAUUUAGUCCUUCAACUUUAGAAAACUCUGGUUUUAGUCAUUUUUACCAAAUUUUGUUAACUUUAUUUGUUGUUUCAAACGCGUUUCUCAGUUAACAUUGAAG